CCUACGGGAGGCAGCAGUGAGGAAUAUUGGUCAAUGGCCGCGAGCCUGAACCAGCCAAGUCGCGUGAAGGAUGAAUGCCCUACGGGUUGUAAACUUCUUUUAUAGGGGAAUAAAGGUAUCCACGUGUGGACUUUUGCAUGUACUCUAUGAAUAAGCAUCGGCUAACUCCGUUCCAGCAGCCGCGGUAAUACGGAGGAUCCGAGCGUUAUCCGGAUUUAUUGGGUUUAAAGGGUGCGUAGGUUGUUUGUUAAGUCAGCUGUGAAAGUUUGUGGCUCAACCAUAAAAUUGCAGUUGAAACUGGAAGACUUGAGUGUGUUUGAGGUAGGCGGAAUGCGUGGUGUAGCGGUGAAAUGCAUAGAUAUCACGCAGAACUCCGAUUGCGAAGGCAGCUUACUAAGCCACAACUGACACUGAAGCACGAAAGCGUGGGUAUCAAACAGGAUUAGAUACCCUAGUAGUC
This 460-nucleotide ribosomal RNA is filed under the name uncultured bacterium. RNAcentral's name for it is "partial 16S ribosomal RNA". It matches the Rfam family "Bacterial small subunit ribosomal RNA", at positions 338 to 795 of the family's 1533-position model. The record is from RNAcentral.